Molecule: long non-coding RNA, 7850 nt
Filed under: Daucus carota (carrot)
Lineage: Eukaryota; Viridiplantae; Streptophyta; Magnoliopsida; Apiales; Apiaceae
Description: long non-coding RNA (DCAR_LNC001411)
Source: RNAcentral
UUAUAUUUAUUUAUUAAUUAUUGGACUUCCGUAAAACUGUUCACUCGUAACGAGGUGGCAAAUUUUCUUCCCGGAAGUUUCAACAAAACUCACCUUUAGCCUAAUUUGAAUAUUCCGGACAUUUUUCGUGUUUUGACUUUUUCGAUCCGGAGUACGGUUUUCCCCGGAGUCGGUCCGGCGGAGUUUUCGGGUAUUUUAAUUGUCGAUAAUUAUCCAGUUUGUCUCGAUAAACGUGAACCGAGAUAUUUUCUUCAUCCUUAUCAUGUAAUAAUUGCAGUGGGACCCGCAGACCAAUAAUUGAGUUAAAAAGCCCCGUUUUGAUGAUUAUCUUGAAAACUAGUACCGAUUGGACCCCACUUUCUUAAUAUAAAGCUAUUAAAUACGUAUUUUCAUGUCAUAAACGAUCCAAAGGGGUACCAAUUAUUUGUAAAUAUAAAUAUACCUUUCUAGAGCUUAUUUUCACCCGUAAAAUCAUUUCACCAGUUUCUCUGCACGAAUACCGAGAGAAACCGAGCGGUGUUCUUCGUGUUCUUCGUAAUCAAACGUGGAUUUGAAGGCGUUAUUGGAGUCAGAAUCAAGCGUGCGAAUAGUCAAAUCGAAGAUAUUGAAGAGUAGAACUCAAAUCAAGCAUCAAAAACAACCUGAGAUUCACAGGUAGGGAGUAAUUGAAGUUUUAAAAUUCGAAUUAUUAUGAUUUAAAUAGUGAAUUUUUGAAAACGUGUUUGUUUGAUGGUUUUGAUGAUUCCAUGUUGUAGAGCGUGUUUUUCUCGUCGUUUUGGUAUAUUAUAUGUUGAAUUUUGACUUCCAUAACAUAGAGAAAAGUCAGUUUAAUCUUUGAAAAGUCAUGUUCUUGGUGUUCUUGAGGAGUUCGCCGGAAUAUUUGAGUUUUUCGCCGGCAAAUCGUUCUGAUGAUUCUGGGUAGAAGCUGAGCAUACCAUUUGAUAGAUCGUAGCUUGUAGAAUCUGUUGGUAGUGUCCAAUCGUGCAAAGGGGCGGUGGAAACGUCGCCAGAAUCUGUAUUUUCAAGUCGGCGGCGGAGCUCUUUGGCUCCAUUUUCCGGCUUACUCGGGGGUUGGAUGUGAGUUCUGAAACCAGGAAUGAACUCCUGACGUUGUGCAGAUUGUUUGGUGUUGAUUUGGUGGGUGGAGGAAGCCGGGAGAGUAAUCUCCGGCGAAUCGGGGCGGUGGCGGCGGAAAAUAUCCGUUUGCACCCCCCAACUUUUGGAGAUGGUGACUUUGAGGCACCCAGGUUUUCAUUCUUUCAAAACAAACCCUGAUAGUUUCAGUUUUUACAAAUUAGACCCUGUGACCAAGUUUCAAAAUCUUACAGAAUAAACCUUUUCAUUUUGGAAAUGUUUUUAAUUAUUUUUAAUUAUUUUGAUUUUCAAAAAUAGUUUUUAAAUUAUUUCUUUACUCAAAAAUAAAUCUAAUUUGAUUUAUUAAUUAAUUUUAAUUAGUAAUUAAUUAUUUUAAUUAAUUAUUAAUUGAUUUUAAUUGAUUAAUUAAUUGGACUUAAUUAUCCUUUUUACUUUAAUCAAAUCGAAAAAUAGUUUCGAGCUUUAAAAUAUUUUUCCAAAUUAUUUUCAAGGCUCGAUAAUUAUUUAUGAAUGAUUUCAAGUCCAAUUUCAAGUAUUUGGGACUUGAUUAUUUAUCUGAAAAGUGAUUCUUUUAUCGAUUUUAAUUCCGAAAAAUGUUUAAAAAUUACAGAAAUUUCCCGAAAAAUCAUUUUGAACUCAAGAUUUGAUUUGACCUCUAUUGGGGUGGGAAACCUUAUGUGUAAUGUGUUGUCUGCUAUUGGUUGGAUGUCUUAUGUGUCGAUAUAAGAGUGAGAAAACGGUUUUAAACAUAUCUUUUGAUCCGUAAGUCGGAAUCGAGUGAAACGAAAGAGAGAUGAAAGCUUAUAAAGUCUAGUUUGAUAUGACAUAAUAAUAUGAUGGAGUCGAGAAUGUGAAUAAUUGUUGUGAAAUGUGCAAUGUGAUUAUAUGUUAUUUGAUUGCUAUUAAUUGAUGAUUACAUGAUAUACAUGUUUAUUCAUGAUAGUAUACACGUGUGAUAAACGAUUUGGAUGACAUAGUUUUGUGUAAUGAUCGAUAUUGGAUAAGAAUAUAUGAAUUAUAGUGAUUGGAUUUGGUUGGUUGAUGGUUGAUUUAGAUAAGAUAACAGGUGGAUAGUCUAACAAAUAGACGAAACGCUGCCAAAUUAUCGAUAUGAUUUAUAUGAUAAUUGAUUUGUGAUAUGUUAUGUGGAAUAUGACUUGACUAUAUGGUAGAGUCAAAGCAUGAUUACGUGUUAAGUGAUAUGUGAUAAGUUUAAAGGGGUAUAUAAGUGGGUAUCGAUAUACGUGAUAUGUAUAUGCGAUAUAUUGUUUAGUGACUAUAGUAUUAUCUUAUUUUCGUAAAGGAUUUGGAGGAGACGUNNNNNNNNNNNNNNNNNNNNNNNNNNNNNNNNNNNNNNNNNNNNNNNNNNNNNNNNNNNNNNNNNNNNNNNNNNNNNNNNNNNNNNNNNNNNNNNNNNNNNNNNNNNNNNNNNNNNNNNNNNNGAGGAGACAGAGUUGAGGAUCCAGUGGUCAGGGAGUGGUGAGGAAAGUUGAUGAGAUUGGUGCAAGCUGGAAUAGUUGACAGUGAUUCUUCUUAUCGAAGAUGAUCUGACUUGGUAAGAAAUAUUGUAUAGUAUUAGUGGUGGAUUCUAAUUUCAAUACUGUAACCUGGAAGCGAUCCUGUUGUUUUGGGGGUUAAAUGUUCUCUUAAAAUUUUCUUAUUAUGGUUUUCAAGUUUGAAAUUCAGGUUUUGAAAUCAUUUGAUUUAUGUUCUCAUUCAAAGUUUUUAUUAAAUGUUUUCAAGUUUUAAAUUCUUUUGGAUUUUCAUUAUCUUUAAAUGAAAAUACCAGGUUUCAAAAGUAUUUUAAAAAGGGUUUUGUGUGGUGACGUCAGAAUCCAGACCCCCGGAUUCUCGGACUGUCACAGUUGGUAUCAGAGCAACAGGUUACAAGUUAUUGGAAUUUGAAUAUAGAUUAUAGUUUUAAGUUCUAUUGAUGAGGAAUGUUGUGUAACCUCACAUAGAGGUAUUGUGAGACUAUCUGGAAAUAGUCUAGAGAUGUGUCAGGAUUAGAAUCUAGUUAGAUGAUUAAGUUGAGUGUAUAAGUUUAGAGAGAUUUUGAUUCUUAAGUUUAGACAUAGGAUUUCUAGUUGAUUAGGAUUCUUAAGUUUAGACAUAUGAUUUCUAGUAUGUUGAUUAAUUGAGAUGGUGAAUUGUGGGAAAGGUCAGUAUUAGACCAAUAUAGAAGAGUUUGAUAGUGAAUGAUUGAAUUGAGAAUGGUGAAAAUGCAGAGUCAUAGUAUUCUGACUAUACUGCAUAUUUGAAACUGGAUUAUUGUAUUGAUUUGAGGAUGAUAUAAAUGCAUGGUUCAUAGUAUGUUGACCAUGUUGGAUAUUUGGAAAAGUAUAUUGUUUUGUGAGAUAUGAAGAGUUAGUGUAAGAUAUGAGUUGUACUGAAUCAGAAGGAGAGAUUUAUAGAUAGAGGUGGAUAGGUGAGAAGUGAAUGAUAGAGAGUAUGUGGAGUUGAGUCCAGCUAUUAGAGGUAAUGUCUGCGAAUAAGUUAGAACGUUAGUCCUCGACGACAACGCUUCGAGCUAAUCGGGGUUUCAAAUGGCAUCAAGGUGGGCCCAUAACCCACAGGUUGAUGAUCCAGACAAUCGAAUAUACAAUACCUAUCGAAGAUACGUUACGUGUUUGUGCUAUGGAUUUCAAAGGCAACUGGGAUAAAGUAGAAGAAUGUAAAUUACAUGGGCCAGAGUUAUUACGGACGAUAACGUCUACGAUGACAUCUUACGAGGCUAUUACGAGUCAAAUCGAUUGAUUAUCGAGAACGUUGAAAGGAUGACAUAAAUCGAAUAACGAUUUCGUAAAGUAGAGUGGGAAUUUGAGAAGACCUUGGCAAUACCUCUCUUCAACUAAAGAUUCUUUUGAUUAUUUUCUCAUCAGUGAGAUAUUAUCAUGAUAUCUUUUCUACAAAAGUUUUGAUAAAUGAGAUCUUCAAUUUCUCAAAUUCUAAGAUGACAUUGAUAUUGAUUAUUGGUAUGAGUUGGAAAGCAAAGAUGUGUGAUAAAGGUUUGUUGUGAAGAGAUAGUGAUGUUCCUUGAUAUUGUUUGACAUUUCUUGACAUUCCUUGAUACCCUUUCAUCUUCCUUGAUAUCCCUUGAUGUUCUUUGAUAUCUUUGAUAUUCCUUGACAUUCUUUGAUAUUCCUUGACAUUUAUUCAAUUUGAUUGGGAUGAACAACCCUAUUUAUAGGGGACACAAGGUAUACCUGUCUGUGUGAUAGGAGUUGGAUGGGACGCCAUCACUUGUGUGUGUUGUGAUUACAAGAAGGUUAACAACCUUUAGUAGUGUCUAAUAUGGACACGCAACAUUAAGUUCAUUUGAUCUUAUUGAUCUCCCAGUCACUCUUGUAUUCCAAUGUGACCUAUUUUGAAAAUAUCUUGUUCCUCCGAAAUUCCCAAAGAUUGAUUCUUGGGAAAUGAAUGUUGCAAUCGCGAAAGUUUGACUUUCCUUUUCCAUUAAAGUUAAAGGUAUGCCAAGAUCAAUCAAAGGUGGAUGACGAUAUGAUAUUACGAAGUGUGUACGUUUUAGUUUCUUCGGAGGAUUCCGAGGACGGAAUCCUUAUAAGGGGGGUAGAAUGUAAUAUCCCAUAUUAUUAAAUUUAGAUUUGAUUAUUAUAAAUCUAUUUGUCUAGAUAUUAUUGUUGGCUCUAGUUGAAUAUUGAUAUGAUUAUGUGAAUAGUUGUAUGUGAUUAUACUUGUUAUGUGGAUUAAUAUGGAUUUUACAGAUUAUGCGUCCUCCUUCUUUCUCUGAUUCCGAGGACGGAAUCCCUAUAAGGAGGGUAGAUUGUAAUAACCCGGAUUUUAAAAAUAUUUUUAUUAAUAUUAUAAAUGAUUUUCUUAAAAAGAAAGGAAUAAGAUUUAAUAUUUUAUUCCAGUUUAAGGAGUUUUCAAAAUUUUAUAUUAAACCCCGGGUUAUUGUGUUAUUGAUAAAUGAUUAUAUUUUUAAAACUGAUUUUCAUAUAUUGUUUCGAAAAUUCUAGAUGAUUAUUAUGUGAAUAUAUGUGUGAUGUGAGUAAGUGGUAUUGGUGGAUUUGUUGGUUAAUUAAUUAUGGUUAAUUAUGAGUAUUAUAUGAUUAAUAUAUGAAUUUUUGUGAAUUUUAUAUUAUCUGGUUUAUUGCGUUAACUGCUCAUAUGUGUUCGUAUUUGAGAGAUUUCAAUUUCUAUAUGCUCAGGAGAAAAUAUAGUUUAUUUGGAUAUUUUCAUAUCGAUUUAUGGAAUGUUAGAUGAUUUUAUAAUCGAUUUACGGAUUUAAUUGCGUAUAUUUAUAUUUAUUUAUUAAUUAUUUGACUUCCGUAAAACCGUCCACUCGUAACGAGGUAGCAAAUUUUCUUCCCGGAAGUUUCAACAAAACUCACCUUUAGCCUAAUUUGAAUAUUCCGGACAUUUUUCGUGUUUUGACUUUUUCGAUCCGGAGUACGGUUUUCCCCGGAGUCGGUCCGGCGGAGUUUUUCGGGUAUUUUAAUUGUUGAUAAUUAUCCAGUUUGUCUCGAUAAGCGUGAAACGAGAUAUUUUGAUUAUUAUAUUCAUCCUUAUCUUGUAAUAAUUGCAAUGGGACCCGCAGACCAAUAAUUGAGUUAAAAAGCCCCGUUUUGAUGAUUAUCUCGAAAACCGGUACCGAUUGGACCCCGCUUUAUUAAUAUAAAGCUAUUAAAUACGUAUUUUCAUGUCAUAAACGAUCCAAAGGGGUACCAAUUAUUUGUAAAUAUAAAUAGACUUUCCUGUAACUUAUUUUCACCGUAGAAAUCAUUUCAACAGUUUCUCUGCACGAAUAUCGAGAGAAACCGAGCGGUGUUCUUCGUGUUCUUCAUAAUCAAACGAAGAUUUGAAGGUGUUAUUGGAAUCCGAUGGAGGCGUAUAAAUAGUCAAAACGAAGCUAUCGACGCGUAGAAUCAAGUUUAAUCAUCCGUUUAUAUGCAGAUUCAACAGGUGAUUUUAGAUUAUUUUUCUAAAAUUCGAGUUUAUAUGAUUUAAAUGAUGAAUUUUUGCAAACGAUUCCGUUUAUGUGAUUUGAUGAUUCUAUGAUGUAGAGCAUGUUUUUCUCGUCGUUUUGGUAUAUUAUAUGUCAAAAACGGAGUUCAAUAACAUGUAGAAAAGUCAGUUUGAUUAUUGAAAUUGUGUUCUUGGUGUUCUUGAGCUUGUUGCCGGAAAAGUUUGAAUUUUGGCCGGAAAAUGGGUUCCGCUAAAUCUGGGCAGUAGUGGUAUAUAUGAAUAGAAAGAGGAGAGAAAGGGGAGUAUGCUGGUGUGCUUGGUUUGAGCGGAGGUGGCUCGAAUCGCCGCCAUCGGCGGCGGGAAGUCGCCGACUUCGGCCGGAUUUUCCGGCGAAUUCGCGCGACUUCUGCCUAAUUAAAGAUGGGGGAUUGAUUUAUGGGUGUGUGUACUACUGAUCUGGAGUAGAUGGUGAGUGGAGGACGCCUGGAAACGAAAAUCCGGCAAGUUAGUGUGAUGGCCGGCGGCUUAUUGCUGUUUGGUCACCGAAGUUUUGAAGAUGAUGAAGUUUUUGUACUCAGGUUUUGAAACUUAUGAAUUACCCCCUGUAACUUUGAAAAGUUGCACUUUAAACCCUGGACAAAACUUUCAAAAGUUUACAAAAUAAACCUUUUGAUUUAAUUUUCUAAAAUUGUUUUAUUUAAUUAUUUUAAAUUCCAAAAAUAGUUUUUAAUUAUUUCUUUAUUCAAAAAUAAAUCUAAAUUAGUUUAUUAAUUAAUUUUAAUUAGUAAUUAAUUAUUUUAAUUGGUCAAUUAAUUUAAAUAUUAAUUGAUUAAUUAUUUUAAUUAAUUAUUAAUUGAUUUUAAUUGAUUAAUUAAUUGGAUUUAAUUAAUCCUUUUUGAUUUAAAAAUUCCGAAAAAUAGUUUCGAGCUUUAAAAUAUUUUUCCAAAUUAUUUUCAAGGCUCGAUAAUUGUUUAUGAAUGAUUUCAAGUCCAAUUUCAAGUAUUUGGGACUUGAUUAUUUAUCCGAAAAGUGAUUCUUUUAUCGAUUUUAAUUCCGAAAAAUGUUUAAAAAUUCCAGAAAAUUCCCGAAAAAUCAUUUUUAACCCAAGACUUGAUUUAAUAUCAAUUGGGAUGGGAAACCUUAUGUGUUGUGUGUUGUCUGCUAUUGGUUGGAUGUGUUAUGUGCCGAUAGGAGAGUGAGAAAACUGUUUUGAGCAUAACUUUUGAUCCGUAAGUCGGAAUCAAGUGAAACGAAAGAGAGACAGAAGCUUAUAACGUCUAUUUUAAUAUGAUGUGACUAUAUGGCUGAGUCUAUAAGGUGAAUAAUUGUUGAUAAGUAUGCAUAAUGUGAUAAUAUGUGAUCUAAGUGCUAUCAGGUGAUGAUUAUGUGAAGUACGUGUUAGUUUUGAUAUUGUGAAGUGAUAAAUGAUUCGUAUGAUUGAUAUUGGAUAAGAAUAUAUGGAUUAUAGCUAUUGGAUUUUGUUGGUUGAUUAAUGAUUGAGAUAGGAUAAUAGGUGGAUAGUCUUAUACAUAGACGAGACGAUGUCGGAUUUUCGAUAAGGAUUUAUAUGAUAAUUGAUUGGUGAUAUGUUAUGUGGAAUAUGAUUGACUAUAUGUUAGAGUCAAAGCAUGCUUAUGUGUUACGUGGUAUCUGAUAAGUUUAAAGGGAUAUAUAAGUGGGUAUCGAUAUACGUGAGAUGUAUAUGCGAUCGAUUGUUUAGUGAUUAUAGUGUUAUCUUAUUCUCGUAAAGGAUUUGGACGAGACGUGUAUGCCCGAAGACGUUCAGAAAGUCACGUGGUGUUACAAAGCGAAUAAGGGAUGAAUCG